This 76-nucleotide transfer RNA is filed under the name Dehalococcoidales bacterium. RNAcentral's name for it is "tRNA-His". It matches the Rfam family "tRNA". From Rfam's summary of the family: Transfer RNA (tRNA) molecules are approximately 80 nucleotides in length. Their secondary structure includes four short double-helical elements and three loops (D, anti-codon, and T loops). The record is from RNAcentral. Lineage: Bacteria; Bacillati; Chloroflexota; Dehalococcoidia; Dehalococcoidales. RNAcentral also lists the same sequence under 1 other name.
GUGAGUAUCGCCUAGCGGUUAGGGCGCCAGGUUGUGGCCCUGGAGACCGUGGGUUCGAAUCCCACUACUCACCCCA